UAGGGAAUAUUGGACAAUGGGGGAAACCCUGAUCCAGCCAUGCCGCGUGAGUGAUGACGGCCCUAGGGUUGUAAAGCUCUUUCAACGGUGAAGAUAAUGACGGUAGCCGUAGAAGAAGCCCCGGCUAACUUCGUGCCAGCAGCCGCGGUAAUACGAAGGGGGCUAGCGUUGUUCGGAAUAACUGGGCGUAAAGCGCACGUAGGCGGAUUGUUUAGUGAGGGGUGAAAUCCCAGGGCUCAACCCUGGAACUGCCUUUCAUACUGGCAAUCUAGAGUUCGAGAGAGGUGAGUGGAAUUCCGAGUGUAGAGGUGAAAUUCGUAGAUAUUCGGAGGAACACCAGUGGCGAAGGCGGCUCACUGGCUCGAUACUGACGCUGAGGUGCGAAAGCGUGGGGAGCAAACAGGAUUAGAUACCCCCGUAGUCC
Molecule: ribosomal RNA, 424 nt
Filed under: uncultured prokaryote
Description: bacterial SSU rRNA
Rfam family: Bacterial small subunit ribosomal RNA
Source: RNAcentral